Molecule: ribosomal RNA, 507 nt
Filed under: uncultured bacterium
Lineage: Bacteria
Description: bacterial SSU rRNA
Rfam family: Bacterial small subunit ribosomal RNA
Source: RNAcentral
ACUCAAAGGAAUAGACGGGGGCCCGCACAAGCAGCGGAGCAUGUGGCUUAAUUCGACGCAACGCGAAGAACCUUACCAAGGCUUGACAUACGCCGGAAAACCGUGGAGACACGGUCCCCCUUGUGGUCGGUGUACAGGUGGUGCAUGGCUGUCGUCAGCUCGUGUCGUGAGAUGUUGGGUUAAGUCCCGCAACGAGCGCAACCCUUGUUCUGUGUUGCCAGCACGUCCUUUCGGGGAUGGUGGGGACUCACAGGAGACUGCCGGGGUCAACUCGGAGGAAGGUGGGGACGACGUCAAGUCAUCAUGCCCCUUAUGUCUUGGGCUGCACACGUGCUACAAUGGCCGGUACAAUGAGCUGCGAUACCGCGAGGUGGAGCGAAUCUCAAAAAGCCGGUCUCAGUUCGGAUUGGGGUCUGCAACUCGACCCCAUGAAGUCGGAGUUGCUAGUAAUCGCAGAUCAGCAUUGCUGCGGUGAAUACGUUCCCGGGCCUUGUACACACCGCCCGU